ACAGAUCAGUGCCCUUGGUGACAUACGGGUAGGGAAAUCAAAAUUAUCUCAGAGUACCAUCCUGUACCCUCUCUUAUCAUGGUUGUCCAGAAACCCUUUACUGAAUUCUUCUACUCAUCUUCAAAUUGGUCUUCCUACGCUGGUGGCCUUCUCUCUGCUGAAAUGAAAUACACAUUGUGCUGUGCA
Long non-coding RNA from Heteronotia binoei (common prickly gecko), 186 nucleotides. RefSeq lists it as uncharacterized. The record is from RefSeq and is a predicted model, not a curated record. Lineage: Eukaryota; Metazoa; Chordata; Lepidosauria; Squamata; Gekkonidae. The transcript has 2 exons.